Molecule: RNA transcript, 4022 nt
Organism: Neofelis nebulosa (Clouded leopard)
Lineage: Eukaryota; Metazoa; Chordata; Mammalia; Carnivora; Felidae
Gene: ABLIM2
Gene name: actin binding LIM protein family member 2
Exons: 23
Source: RefSeq, a predicted model, not a curated record
GGCGGGGCCGGCGCGCCGGGGGGCUGCGGCGGCGCUGCGGGCGGGCGCGGACCUUGCUCGGGGCUGGCGGACCCGGGAACCCGCGGGCUGGCGGGCUGGCGAUCGCGCGGGCGCGGCCCCUGCGGGCAGGAGCCUCGGGCCGCCGCAACGCCGGACCGCCCGCCUCCCUGCUGCCGCCGAGAUGAGUGCAGUGUCGGAGCCCCAGGCUGCUCACAGCCCCCUGGAGAAGUCGCCCAGCACGGCCAUCCUGUGCAACACGUGUGGAAAUGUGUGCAAGGGGGAGGUGCUGAGGGUCCAGAACAAGUAUUUCCACAUCAAGUGCUUUGUCUGUAAAGCGUGUGGCUGUGACCUGGCCGAGGGCGGCUUCUUCGUGCGCCAGGGCGAGUACAUCUGCACGCGGGACUACCAGAGGCUGUACGGGACCCGCUGCUUCAGCUGCGACCGGUUCAUCGAGGGCGAGGUGGUGUCCGCGCUGGGCAAGACCUACCACCCCGACUGCUUCGUGUGCGCGGUGUGCCGGUUGCCCUUCCCGCCUGGGGACCGAGUGACCUUCAACGGGAAGGAAUGCGUGUGUCAGAAGUGCUCCCUGCCCAAGACAGCGGGCGGCAGCGUGCACCUGUCCCAGGGCCUCUGGAGUUGCGGGGGCUGCGGCACGGAAAUUAAAAACGGCCAGUCCCUGGUGGCUUUGGACAAACACUGGCACUUGGGCUGUUUUAAGUGCGAGACGUGUGGGAAACAGCUGGACGCGGAAUACAUCAGCAAGGACGGGCUGCCCUACUGCGAGACCGACUACCACACCAAGUUCGGCAUCCGCUGUGACGGCUGUGAGAAGUACAUCACGGGGCACGUGCUGGAGGCAGGAGAGAAACACUAUCACCCCUUGUGUGCGCUAUGUGUCAGGUGCGGCCGGAUGUUUGCGGAAGGCGAGGAGAUGUAUCUUCAAGGUUCCUCCAUCUGGCACCCGGCGUGCCGACAAGCAGCCAGAACUGAAGACAAAAACAAGGAAACCAGGAGCUCCUCAGAGAGCAUCAUUUCUGUACCUGCUUCCAGCACCUCGGGGUCUCCGAGCCGCGUGAUCUAUGCGAAGCUGGGCGAUGAGAUUCUCGACUACAGGGACCUGGCUGCCCUUCCCAAAAGCAAGGCCAUCUACAACAUCGACCGCCCCGACAUGAUCUCCUACUCGCCGUACAUCAGCCACUCGGUGGCCGACAGACAGAGCUGCAGCGAGUCCCCACAGGUACUCUCGCCAACGCCGACAGAGGGGGAUCAGGACGACCGUUCGUACAAGCAGUGCCGGACCUCCAGCCCCAGCUCCACGGGCUCCGUCAGCCUCGGGCGCUACACCCCGACCUCGCGGUCGCCCCAGCACUGCAGCCGUCCAGCUGGUACUGUGAGUGUUGGUACCAGUAGCUGCCUGUCCCUGUCCCAACACCCAAGCCCUACAUCCGUGUUCAGACAUCAUUACGUCCCCUACUUCCGAGGCAGUGAAAGUGGCCGGAGCACCCCCAGCCUCUCGGUGCUCUCAGACAGCAAGCCUCCCCCCUGCACCUACCAGCAGGCGCCUCGCCACUUCCACGUCCCAGACACUGGCGUAAAAGAUAACAUCUAUAGGAAACCCCCCAUCUACAAACAGCAUGGUCCUGUAGCCCAAUCCCCAAUUUCCAAGCUCUCGGGCCUGAUGUCAGUCUUGUCCUUGGUGGUGCACAAGGCAGGGUGCUCCAAAAGGCUAGAAGGUCCAAGCCCUCCAUGGGCUGCAGCCGCGAGGCGACCGGACGGAGAGGACAGCAGUUUCGAGCAGGAUAACAGGAAGCAGAAGACCAGCUGGCUGAUUCCCAAGGGGGACGCAGACACUAGGACUAAUUCUCCAGACCUAGACAGCCAGUCUUUGUCCCUCAGUAGCGGGACCGAUAGAGACCCUCUCCAAACAAUGCAAGGGGACAACUUUUCCUCACGAUCCCCCUAUUCCAAAUCUGACCCUCUCCCAGGACACGGAAAGAAUGGCCUGGACCACCGGAACGCCAAUCUGGCCCCUUGUGGAGCAGACCCGGAUGCCAGCUGGGGCACGCGAGAAUACAAGGUAAGAGGGGCCGCCCGCUGCCACACCGACCGCUUCGUGCCAGGCUGCACCUGCCCAGGUCUACCCUUAUGACGCCCUCAUUGUCACAAACCGAAUUCGCGUGAAACUGCCCAGAGAUGUGGACCGCACGAGACUGGAGAGGCACCUGUCGCCCGAGGAGUUCCAGGAAGUGUUUGGAAUGAGUGUACAAGAGUUCGACCGCCUGGCCCUCUGGAAGAGGAACGACCUCAAGAAGAAAGCCCUGUUGUUUUGACGGCCUCCAGCGUGCCAGCGACAGAGCGUGGGACAGCUGGCGAGAACCGCAGAACCCCCUCCUCCCGCACCUGGCUCUGGCUUCUCUGUGUCCCUGCGGGCGGGCGGCGGGCCCCUGGAGAGGGCGGGGUGGGAGGCUGGGGCGGGAGGAUGUUCCAGAGCACGUGCGGCCUCUAGUUUCUGCCAGCUACGCUCCUGCCCCUAGUUCAGAGCCCAGACGCCUUGCUUCGCGCUGCACGUGUAACCCGCAGCACGGAGGGGCUGCAAAGAUGCUCCCGGGGCUCGAGGAACAUUUACCUUGACCGUGCGGCGCGCCCCCCCCCCCCCCCCCCGCCCCUGUGCAGUGCCCCACCCCCCGUGAUAGGCCCUGGGGGCACACAGAGGUGCCUGGGCCUUGGGAUUUGAGGAGGUCUGUCAAUGACAGACGCUGGCACGACACAAUCACGGGUGGGUGGGCCUAUGGCUCCCAGCGCCUGCUCCCCGCCCCCCUCCCCCGCUUGCUCAGCCCUGGGGAGGCACAGCCUCGCGCACAGACAGGCCAGGCGUGGCCAGGGAGAGCGCUGAGGAGCACCCAGGGCCGCUCGAAGCGAAGCGUGGGGUGCAUGAUGUUUGCCGCCGUUUGUGACGAGUCUGUUUUUAGGGACAACCGUCCACCGGACAGGGUACCUUCUGCCGGGGCCCUCCGUGCACUGCAUUUUUCUUCCAGACCAUCCCCUAGAUGCCUAAAUGAUAUCUUUAAAGUAACACAGAAGUUUUUAUUUUAUUAAAAAGCAUAGCCUACUUAAACAUAAGAUGACAUAGAUAAGAGUUCCAUUUUACGGUCCCGCGGAAGGGGAGCGCCUCCAGCCUUACUCUCCAGUGUCCGGUCCUGUGUGGUUUCGCUUCCCCGUGUGCUCCUAGCGCACACAGCUCCUUGUCAGGUUUCUUUGCUUUUCUUCUUUUUCACCUGCCACACCGGUGCCCUUAAGGGCAGCCCUUAACGGCCACGUAAUGCCGUUUCUAAGUAUGCGUGACGUGUCGCCAUCACUGUUUGCCUGGCUGUUAUUUUCCGCAUCCCGGAGAGAAAAGAUUCUCCUCUGAUGGCCAAAGCCGCCGAAUAAAGGAGUUCCACGCACCCAGCCUAACACCCAGCGUAGCUCUUGGGGUGCCCUUUUGUGACGUGGCCGGUGGUGCCCGCCUUAGCCCGGUGCGUGCGUGGUCCCGAGGCGGGCACCGGCCGCUGGGGAAGGAGGAGGGAGACACCCCCCCUUUUCUGACCUGCCCGCUCCGCAGCAGAAGCCCGGCCGGGCCCCCAGCUGAAAGGCGUCCGCGUCUGUAAUCGGGUGCGGGUCGGGGCGCGGUGUCUGUCGCAGGCGGCUUGUAGAGUGGGUUGAGAGGUUCGCGAAUCAGUAGGAAGGUGUCACCGAAGUCUGUCUUCCCUGUCUUCUGUGGGGCUGUGUCUUUCUGUGCGUCCUGAACGCCCGUCCGUGAGUCAGUGUUACUCAGAUCCCUCCGGCCCCCGCCACGCACCCCGUCGUGCACCGGCUCCUCACCGGCCCGGCUCGGCCAGGGAGGGGGAGUUUCUAGCACCUUCCAUUUAGCAGAGCCUGAGCAACUGAAAACCCCCAUUUUUCUCACUAGUGCAAUGUCAUGUCAGCUCCCAGGGGAGCCCGGAAAAAUAAAGGUCGGUGUAUCCUAACUUGUGAAGGUCAAA